RNAcentral lists this ribosomal RNA (2228 nucleotides) under Salmonella enterica subsp. enterica serovar Typhimurium. RNAcentral describes it as "partial 23S ribosomal RNA". It matches the Rfam family "Bacterial large subunit ribosomal RNA", at positions 678 to 2802 of the family's 2925-position model. Lineage: Bacteria; Pseudomonadati; Pseudomonadota; Gammaproteobacteria; Enterobacterales; Enterobacteriaceae. The record is from RNAcentral.
CGAGUCUUAACCGGGCGUUAAGUUGCAGGGUAUAGACCCGAAACCCGGUGAUCUAGCCAUGGGCAGGUUGAAGGUUGGGUAACACUAACUGGAGGACCGAACCGACUAAUGUUGAAAAAUUAGCGGAUGACCUGUGGCUGGGGGUGAAAGGCCAAUCAAACCGGGAGAUAGCUGGUUCUCCCCGAAAGCUAUUUAGGUAGCGCCUCGUGAAUUCAUCUCCGGGGGUAGAGCACUGUUUCGGCUAGGGGGCCAUCCCGGCUUACCAACCCGAUGCAAACUGCGAAUACCGGAGAAUGUUAUCACGGGAGACACACGGCGGGUGCUAACGUCCGUCGUGAAGAGGGAAACAACCCAGACCGCCAGCUAAGGUCCCAAAGUCAUGGUUAAGUGGGAAACGAUGUGGGAAGGCCCAGACAGCCAGGAUGUUGGCUUAGAAGCAGCCAUCAUUUAAAGAAAGCGUAAUAGCUCACUGGUCGAGUCGGCCUGCGCGGAAGAUGUAACGGGGCUAAACCAUGCACCGAAGCUGCGGCAGCGAACGUAUCACCCAAGACAACUUUACGGAGUUGACGAUUGACGGAGCGAAGCGACGUCAAAGCGUUCAUUAAAGUCGAGUUGGCUUAGGGAUACGUUCGUUGGGUAGGGGAGCGUUCUGUAAGCCUGUGAAGGUGUGUCGUGAGGCAUGCUGGAGGUAUCAGAAGUGCGAAUGCUGACAUAAGUAACGAUAAAGCGGGUGAAAAGCCCGCUCGCCGGAAGACCAAGGGUUCCUGUCCAACGUUAAUCGGGGCAGGGUGAGUCGACCCCUAAGGCGAGGCCGAAAGGCGUAGUCGAUGGGAAACGGGUUAAUAUUCCCGUACUUGGUGUUACUGCGAAGGGGGGACGGAGAAGGCUAUGUUGGCCGGGCGACGGUUGUCCCGGUUUAAGCGUGUAGGUGUGUGUUCCAGGUAAAUCCGGUUCACUUUAACACUGAGGCGUGACGACGAGGCACUACGGUGCUGAAGCAACAAAUGCCCUGCUUCCAGGAAAAGCCUCUAAGCAUCAGGUAACAUCAAAUCGUACCCCAAACCGACACAGGUGGUCAGGUAGAGAAUACCAAGGCGCUUGAGAGAACUCGGGUGAAGGAACUAGGCAAAAUGGUGCCGUAACUUCGGGAGAAGGCACGCUGACACGUAGGUGAAGUGAUUUACUCAUGGAGCUGAAGUCAGUCGAAGAUACCAGCUGGCUGCAACUGUUUAUUAAAAACACAGCACUGUGCAAACACGAAAGUGGACGUAUACGGUGUGACGCCUGCCCGGUGCCGGAAGGUUAAUUGAUGGGGUCAGCGCAAGCGAAGCUCCUGAUCGAAGCCCCGGUAAACGGCGGCCGUAACUAUAACGGUCCUAAGGUAGCGAAAUUCCUUGUCGGGUAAGUUCCGACCUGCACGAAUGGCGUAAUGAUGGCCAGGCUGUCUCCACCCGAGACUCAGUGAAAUUGAACUCGCUGUGAAGAUGCAGUGUACCCGCGGCAAGACGGAAAGACCCCGUGAACCUUUACUAUAGCUUGACACUGAACAUUGAGCCUUGAUGUGUAGGAUAGGUGGGAGGCUUUGAAGUGUGGACGCCAGUCUGCAUGGAGCCGACCUUGAAAUACCACCCUUUAAUGUUUGAUGUUCUAACGUGGACCCGUAAUCCGGGUUGCGGACAGUGUCUGGUGGGUAGUUUGACUGGGGCGGUCUCCUCCUAAAGAGUAACGGAGGAGCACGAAGGUUGGCUAAUCCUGGUCGGACAUCAGGAGGUUAGUGCAAUGGCAUAAGCCAGCUUGACUGCGAGCGUGACGGCGCGAGCAGGUGCGAAAGCAGGUCAUAGUGAUCCGGUGGUUCUGAAUGGAAGGGCCAUCGCUCAACGGAUAAAAGGUACUCCGGGGAUAACAGGCUGAUACCGCCCAAGAGUUCAUAUCGACGGCGGUGUUUGGCACCUCGAUGUCGGCUCAUCACAUCCUGGGGCUGAAGUAGGUCCCAAGGGUAUGGCUGUUCGCCAUUUAAAGUGGUACGCGAGCUGGGUUUAGAACGUCGUGAGACAGUUCGGUCCCUAUCUGCCGUGGGCGCUGGAGAACUGAGGGGGGCUGCUCCUAGUACGAGAGGACCGGAGUGGACGCAUCACUGGUGUUCGGGUUGUCAUGCCAAUGGCACUGCCCGGUAGCUAAAUGCGGAAGAGAUAAGUGCUGAAAGCAUCUAAGCACGAAACUUGCCCCGA